GUUUAUGGCCAUACCAGCCUGAACAUGCCCAAUCUUACCUGAUUUCGGAAGCUAGGCAGGGUAAGGCGUGGUAGGCUUUAAAAA
This is a ribosomal RNA of Mandrillus leucophaeus (drill), 84 nucleotides long. Lineage: Eukaryota; Metazoa; Chordata; Mammalia; Primates; Cercopithecidae. The record is from Ensembl.